This 253-nucleotide ribosomal RNA is filed under the name uncultured bacterium. RNAcentral's name for it is "partial 16S ribosomal RNA". It matches the Rfam family "Bacterial small subunit ribosomal RNA", at positions 524 to 776 of the family's 1533-position model. The record is from RNAcentral.
UACGUAGGGGGCUAGCGUUGUCCGGAAUCAUUGGGCGUAAAGCGCGUGUAGGCGGCUUUGCAAGUCGGGUGUGAAAGCCCUCGGCUCAACCGAGGAAGUGCGCCCGAAACUGCAGAGCUUGAGUACCGGAGAGGAUGGCGGAAUUCCCCAAGUAGAGGUGAAAUUCGUAGAUAUGGGGAGGAACACCGGUGGCGAAGGCGGCCAUCUGGACGGAUACUGACGCUGAGACGCGAAAGCGUGGGUAGCAAACAGG